This is a long non-coding RNA of Rosa rugosa (rugosa rose), 476 nucleotides long. RefSeq lists it as uncharacterized. The transcript is spliced from 3 exons. The record is from RefSeq and is a predicted model, not a curated record. NCBI's taxonomy places the organism in Eukaryota, Viridiplantae, Streptophyta, Magnoliopsida, Rosales, Rosaceae.
CUCGAACUUCGUCAAUUUUCGACCAACACCUCGCCACAACGACGCCACCGCCUGACUCAGCAAGCAACGAGGAGCAAAGCCCAGAAGUUUCGCCACCCACCGAAGCCGGAAAACGACGUACGAGUUUCGCCGGAACCCGGGGCCUUGCAUGUCGUCCUUUUUCAAUUUCCAACCAUGCCUGGGCUACCCGACCACCAUGGAUGUAGUAAGCGCCUAAAUGUCUAGAAUAGCCCCUCACCCAGACCUCUGAUUUCGACCGGAGCCACCCAGCACCGCCGUGAGAGCCACUGGCUUACCUUUUUUGUCUGGUUUGUGGAAUCUGGAAUAUUGAAGCUUUGGAGAAGAAAUGAGCUACUGGGUCAGUUUCGAAUCGAAAUAAGGAAUUCAGAUGGUUAGUGGAUUUGGAUUUCUGCGUUUUUGGAGUUUUGGAAGAGAGGAGCUGCUGGGCCAGUUAAGUUUAUGUUGAGGAAUGGGAA